UUGUCAAAUGUUGCAAAAGAAAGGAUUUUGCACGUUUGUUCAACGUUGCAAAAUCCUUUCUUUUGCAACGUUUGUCAA
Molecule: microRNA precursor, 78 nt
Filed under: Olea europaea subsp. europaea
Lineage: Eukaryota; Viridiplantae; Streptophyta; Magnoliopsida; Lamiales; Oleaceae
Source: RNAcentral